RNAcentral lists this ribosomal RNA (253 nucleotides) under uncultured bacterium. RNAcentral describes it as "partial 16S ribosomal RNA". It matches the Rfam family "Bacterial small subunit ribosomal RNA", at positions 524 to 776 of the family's 1533-position model. The record is from RNAcentral.
UACGAAAGGGGCUAGCGUUGUUCGGAAUUACUGGGCGUAAAGCGCACGUAGGCGGAAUUGUAAGUUCGGGGUGAAAUCCCGGGGCUCAACCUCGGAACUGCCUUUGAUACUGCGAAUCUCGAGGCCGAUAGAGGUGGGUGGAAUUCCUAGUGUAGAGGUGAAAUUCGUAGAUAUUAGGAAGAACACCGGUGGCGAAGGCGGCCCACUGGAUCGGUACUGACGCUGAGGUGCGAAAGCGUGGGGAGCAAACAGG